Molecule: long non-coding RNA, 1886 nt
Organism: Felis catus (domestic cat)
Lineage: Eukaryota; Metazoa; Chordata; Mammalia; Carnivora; Felidae
Exons: 3
Source: RefSeq, a predicted model, not a curated record
AGGGGCGGGGACUGAACAGGCCGUAUAAGGGCGCGCUGAGCCCAGAAUCCCGCACAAGCUCCGGGGACUGGGCUGGGGACCAAGCCAAGCACGGCCCGGCCAGGUGAAGGGUGGCCAGGAAGGGAGGGGCGGACCAGGUGCACACCUGCGGUGGCCGCCCCGGCGGGCGACGUGUCAGCCGCAGAUGCGCGCAGGUGAGGGCGGCGGCUAGCGGAGCGCUGUGUGGCACUGUGCUCGCGGAAGACCAGGACAGGAGAUCACCAAGGGCCACAGCCAGGCCCCGGGCCUUCCGCUCCCGCCCCGCGACGAGCCCCUCGCACAAACCGGACCUGAGCGUUUUGUUCGUUCGGCUCGCGUGAGGCAGGGGUGGCCUCUCAGCACCUGCCCCGGGGCCGGGCCCGACCGCCACGCAGGCACCUGCCGUCGCCGCCGCCGCCGCCGCCAUACGGGUCGGAGAGGCUGCGAGCCACUCCCGGGGAAGAUCCGGCUCCCAUCCGGCCCCGCCCGCCCUGCCUUAUCCUGCCCGCAACUCCGGGGCUGCCCGGCUCGAUUCCGGGUAAUAUGGGCCGGCUGAGUAGGCUCCACCGGGUGGCAUAGGGGGCUGUGGCCGAGACAGGAGCCCUUCUGGAGGUGGAAACCCAGCUUCUAGUCCCUCUCUGUCCCAGCGACCUCUCUGGCCUUGGGCAAGUCAUUUCCCAGCCUUUCCUCGGUUUUCCUGUAUGUUCAGAGGGGUUGGUCUGGCCUUGGGCAAGGGCCUCACCAGUGCCCAGAUCCUGGUUUCGGGGCUUCUAGCAAUAAUGCUGAGCCACUUACCUGGGAAGUUGGAGGCCUUCGAGGGAUUGGAGUGUUAGCUGUGAGGAGGUGUGGAAAAUCAGGGUGGGGGAGCUAGAACCAGAUGAAGAUCAAGUCUGCUCCUUCACAUCUGUUUGGUGCUGACAUCCUGAGGGUUCGCUCCCUGCCAUCUCCCUGGCCCUUCUUUCAGUCUUCCCGUGUCUGAGACAGACAGACAGACUGUAGACAGACAGAUGGAAAAGGACAAAUGGGGCCUGGUAGCCCUUGCCAGGUGGGGUCCCCAGGCACCACAGCCAACCACCUUUCUUAAACUUCAUAAUCCCAAGGCUUCCUGUUAUAUGCAGCUGGGGGUGAGGGUGGGUCUCAGUGGCCCUCAUCUUAGGUGGGAGUCCACGGGUCAUCAGCCACAACCAAACCUGAGACAGCCGGUCCCUCUUCUGCAGGGAGUCAAAGUGUUAAGAUCUGACAUGAGGGAGGGGGGGUGGAGAUUGCCUUAGACCCCUGGCCUCCUGCCCCGGAGAGUCUAGAACUGAGGGUUCCACACACAGCCUGAGGUCAGUGUGAGCCCUUAGCUGAGUCUCUGUCCUUUCACUCCAGGUGUCCGUCAUUCCUCCUCUCUCAACAUUGAUGGUGAUGCUGGUCUAGCCCCAGGGAGAGGGUCGUAGGUGGAGGGAAGCCUCCUUGGACAGCAGUAAGGAGCUACAGUUUCCCCUUAGGCUGGAGAAACAGACAGCUGUGGCAGCUGACCGACCCCCUGCCCACCUGCUGGUUGUGACUCAGCCUUGGAACCUCUGGACGCAGAGGGUACCCAGGGUCUAUAGGGAAAAACUGAGAAGUAGAGUGCAGCUUAUACGCAGGGGAGCUUGGAUUUGAACCCAGGCUUUAGCGCAAGACUCCAGAGCACUCUUAACCCUUCAGUGUCUGUAUGAUCAGGGGCGGGUGACUGAGACACCUUCUCUCCUCCUCUCCGUGGCCGUGGAAUGGGAUAUGUGCAUGUGUAAGCGAAGGGCAUACUUGUGUGUGACUCCAACACCCAGCACAGAGUGGCACACAGCACAUUGUAUUAAACGUUUGAGGAAUAAGCGAGUGAACAA